GACGAACGCUGGCGGCGUGCUUAACACAUGCAAGUCGAACGGAAAGGCCCUGCUUUUGUGGGGUGCUCGAGUGGCGAACGGGUGAGUAACACGUGAGUAACCUGCCCUUGACUUUGGGAUAACUUCAGGAAACUGGGGCUAAUACCGGAUAGGAGCUCCUGCUGCAUGGGGGGGGUUGGAAAGUUUCGGCGGUUGGGGAUGGACUCGCGGCUUAUCAGCUUGUUGGUGGGGUAGUGGCUUACCAAGGCUUUGACGGGUAGCCGGCCUGAGAGGGUGACCGGCCACAUUGGGACUGAGAUACGGCCCAGACUCCUACGGGAGGCAGCAGUGGGGAAUAUUGCACAAUGGGCGGAAGCCUGAUGCAGCAACGCCGCGUGCGGGAUGACGGCCUUCGGGUUGUAAACCGCUGUCGCCUGUGACGAAGCGUGAGUGACGGUAAUGGGUAAAGAAGCACCGGCUAACUACGUG
Molecule: ribosomal RNA, 468 nt
Filed under: uncultured bacterium
Lineage: Bacteria
Description: partial 16S ribosomal RNA
Rfam family: Bacterial small subunit ribosomal RNA
Source: RNAcentral